RNAcentral lists this ribosomal RNA (253 nucleotides) under uncultured Eubacteriales bacterium. Its description in RNAcentral is "uncultured Clostridiales bacterium partial 16S ribosomal RNA". It matches the Rfam family "Bacterial small subunit ribosomal RNA", at positions 524 to 776 of the family's 1533-position model. The record is from RNAcentral. Lineage: Bacteria; Bacillati; Bacillota; Clostridia; Eubacteriales.
UACGUAGGUGGCAAGCGUUGUCCGGAUUUACUGGGUGUAAAGGGCGUGCAGCCGGGCUGACAAGUCAGAUGUGAAAUCCCGCGGCUCAACCGCGGAACUGCAUUUGAAACUGCCAUGCUGGAGUGCCGGAGAGGUAAGCGGAAUUCCUAGUGUAGCGGUGAAAUGCGUAGAUAUUAGGAGGAACACCAGUGGCGGAGGCGGCUUACUGGACGGUAACUGACGCUGAGGCUCGAAAGCGUGGGGAGCAAACAGG